CUAGAGCCCCCAUUUGCUGAAUAACAAGCCUCCUUGUUUCAUUUUUCACAAACAUUUCUUCCCUCUGUUCUCUCCACUGGGUCUAUGAACAAGGGUUUGCUCUCUGUCGGUGCUUUGGCGUUCUUCUCCUGCAGAUAUAUUCACAAGAAGUCAUCUUGGUUCACAGCCUCAUGAUGAAGAGGGCUCAGGGGCCAGAGGGCUGAUUAUGGUUCUAAUUUGCAAUUAUACAGUGAUUUUUCACACUGCUCAUGAAUGCUGACUUCCUCCCUGUUUGGGUUGGAGAGUUAGAGGGAUCUGAUUUGAUUGAAGCAGUAUAGGCUGUGAUUAUCAUAAGAAUUUGGCAUAGUAAAUUGAAUUGGGAAGUAUUGGGCAACAAAUGUAAAUUAUUUCCUUUCAUUUGUCACUCCUACACAACUGUAUAUUUACUGUUUGUGGCUGACCCUGUGUAGAAAAGUGAAAUGACUUAAUCCUAAUGCCUUUGAAAUGGGAACUGUUGAGACACCUGAGUGGUCUCUUUGAAUUCAAGAUGCAAACAGAUUGCGCUGCUGUUUGGAGGGAGCAUGGAGCUGAAACAAUAUCCCUGGAGUCUAGUAGUUUUUUUUUUUUUAAGUUCAAGUGCUCUAGGCCCACCUACUGUGGUUCUAGAUGGAUGUUUUAAAUAUUUGCAUUUUAAAAUAUUUUAAAAACUCUUAUUUCUGUGUAAUAAAAAAGUUCGGCCAGGCGCAGUGGCUCAUGCCCAUAAUCCCAGCACUUUGGGAGGCCGAGGUGGGCAGAUCACCAAAGGUCAGGAGUUUGAGACCAGCCUGGUCUACUUGGUGAAACCCUGUCUCUACUGAAAAUACACAAAAAAAAAAAAAAACAACAGCUGGGUGUGGUGAUGGGUGCCUGUUAUCCCAGCUACUGGGGAGGCUGAGGCAGGAGAAUUGCUUGAACCUGGGAGGUGGAGGAUGCAGUGAGCUGAGAUCGUGCCACUGCACUUCAGCCUGGACGAAAAAAUGAAAACGUUGGCUUGCCUUUGUCCUGGGUUCUUAGAAGGUAGAUAACCUGUAAAUAAUUGGAAUUUUCUGAUUGAGAAGAGUGUCUUCGUUUUUCAUGGUGGACCUCAAUAGUUUAAGCUAAUGAGAUGACUCAAUAUGGGAGCGGGCCACACUAGGAAGAACCAUGGUGUGAUUAGAGGGAUGGGGUUUUUAGCCAUGUGAUAUCACUCCUCAGAGGAAGAGGAGACGGGGCAUAGCCAAUGAUUCAAUCGAUUGCUCCUACAAAGUAAGACCCCAAUAAAAGCUCUAGACACUGUAAUUUAGGUGAGCUUCCCUGAUUGGCAAUACCUUGUGUAUUGUCACAUAUUAAUGUGCGGGGAGGGCAAUAAGCCCUGACUCCACUAGGAGAAGACAAUGGAAGUUUUGCAUCUGGAACCCUCUCAGACCUUGGCCUAUGUAUUCUCCUUGUGGCUGGUUCUGAUUCAUAUCCUUGUGCUAUAAUAAAACUACAAUUGUAAGUACAGAACUUUCCUGAGUUCUGUGAGUCAUUCUAGUGAGUUAUCAAACUUGAGGGGGUAACGAGCACUCCCGAGUUUGUAGCCAGUUGAUCAGAUGUGAGAGUGGCCUGGGGACCCCCAAACUUGCAGCUGGUGUCUGAAGUGAAGGCAGUCUUCUGGAGGAUUAUACCCAUGGCUUGUGAAGUUUGGCCUAACUCUGGAUAGUUGGUCUUAGAAGUCAUUGCAAUUUCUUUAACUUUUUAUCUUGAAAAAUUUAAAACUUAAAGAAAAUUUGCAAGUGUAGUACAAUGAAUACCCAUAUACUUUUCACUUAGAGUCUCCAAUUUGUUAAUGCAUUCCCAUAUUUGUGUCAUUUCUCUUUCUGUAUAUACUUUUUUUUUUCCUGAACCAAUUGAAAGUUGCAAACAUGUCAUCCCUAAACACUUCAGUACAUACCUUCUGAGAACCAGGACAUUCUCCUACAUAAUUCCAAUAGCAUGAUCACUCACAAGAAAUUUAGCAUUGAUACAAUAAUAUUAUCUAAUAUGUUUCUAUUUUCCCUAUUGUCCUUAAAAUAACCCUUAUAAUUUUUUCCUUUCAAUUUAGGAGGAUCCAGUCAAGGGUCAUGUAUUCCUUUGGUUGUUAUGUCUCCUUGGUUUCCUUAAAUCAAGAUUCCAGAACUGUCUCCUUGCUUUAUUUGUUUUUGAGACAGAGUCUUGCUCUGUUGCCCAGAUAGGAGUACAGUGGCACGAUCUUGGCUCACUGCAACCUCCACCUCCCGGGUUCAAGCAAUUCUCCUGCCUCAGCCUGCCCAGUAGCUGGGAUUACAGGCGCCUGCCACUGUGCUUAGCUAAUUUUUGUAUUUUUAAUAGAGACGGGGUUUCACCAUGUUGGCCAGGCUGGUCUGGAACUCCUGACCUUUCAGGUGAUCCACCCCCCUCGGCCUCCCAGAGUGCUGGGAUUACAGGCGUGAGCCACUGCGCCUGGCCUGUCUCCUUGUUUUUUUGUUUUUUUUUGAGACAGAGUCUCUCUCUGUCGCCCAGGCUGUAGUGCAGUGGCGCGGAUCUCGGCUCACUGCAAGCUCCGCCUCCCGGGUUCAUGCCAUUCUCCUGCCUCAGCCUCCCGAAUAGCUGGGACUACAGGCGCCCGCCACCGCACCCAGCUAAUUUUUUGUAUUUUUAGUAGAGACGGGGUUUCACUGUGUUACCCAGGAUGGUCUCAAUCUCCUGACCUUGGAUUACAGGCGUGAGCCACUGCGCCCAGCCUUGUUUUUUAUUUUAAUUUAAUUUAAUUUUGUCUGUAAUGAAAUUGACGCUUUUGAAAGGGCCACACUACCUGACUUGUAUAUUGUAAAUUGUAAUCUCAAUUUGUCUGAUUGUUUUCUCGUAAUUAGAUUCAGAUUAUAUAUCCUUAGCAAGAAUACAAACUAUGUAGAUGAUGUGUUGAUGAAAAGUUUGUACUAGUGUGAUGUCAACCAAGAUGGCAGAGUAGAAGAUCCCUUGGCAUCACUCCUCUCAAAAAAAUACAACUAGAAACUAUUCAAGACCAGAAUACCACCCUGAGUUCACCAACACACCAACACUUGGAGGAGAAGUGGAGAAAACCCUGGACGAACAGAAUUGAGAAAAUCUGUGACCGUUUCAGUGGAGACCAUGUGGAGAUCCAGUAUUCCUACUACUACUCAGCAAGCAGUAUCAAGAAGUUCCCUACCUUUGGUGUCAACAGAAGCUGAGUAGAAACCUGAACGUCCAUCUACAGCUAGCAAUAAUGAGAGGUAUGGGAUGGAGUGCCCCUCCUUUUGCACCUGCUGGAGUGGUAUCAGAAAAAUCAGUUAAAACAGAAGGCUUAAAUAAGAUCCAGAAUUUCUGAAAAUAAUUUGAAAAUGUCUAGGUUUCAACAAAAAGGCAUGCAUCAUACCAAGAACUAGGAAGGUCUCAAACUUAGUGGAAAAAGAUGAUCAAUAGAUGAUGCUAAUACUGAGAUGCUGGUAUUAUCUGACAAAGAUUUAAAGCAGCUAUCAGAUCCUUCAGUGAACAGUUAUGAACAUUACUGGAACGAAUGAAAAAACAAAAAGGCUCAGCAAAUAAACUGAAAGUCUCAGUAAAGAAAUGGAAGGUGUAAAGAAAUAAAUAGAAAUUUCAGAACUGAAAACACAUAAACUAAAAUACAAACUCAGUGAAUGGGCUCAAUAGCAUAAUAGAGGAAAGAAUCAAAGACCUAUAAAACACAACAACAGAAAUUAUUCAAUCUGGACAACACAGAAAAUGACUGAAAAAAGUGAACAGAGCGUCAAGGACCUGUGGGACUAUAACAAAAUAUCCAACAUUCAUAUCACUGGAGUCCCAGAAUGAGAGAAAAAAGACAGAUAAAAAAUAAUGGUUGAAAUCAUUCCAAAUUUGGCAAGAGGCAUUAGCUACAGACUCAAAAAGGUGAGAAAGCCUCAAAUAGGAUAAACCCAAAGAAUCCCACACCAAGAAGCAUCAUAAUUAAGUUUCUGAAAACUAAAAAAGUGAAGACAUCUUGAAGGCAGUAAAAAGAAAAACAACACUUUACCUAUGGGGAGAAAUAAUUUGAAUGACAGCAGAUUUCUUAUCAGAGACCGUGGAGUCAAGAAGUAAGUGGCACAAUAUUUUUCAAGUGCUGAAAGAAAAGAACUGUCAACACAGAAUCCUAUACCUAAUGAAGAUAUCUUUCAGGAAUAAAGGGGAAAUCAAGACAUUCUCAGAUGAAGGGAAAGGAAGAUAAUUUGUCAUAAGUGGCAUAGCCUAAAAGAAAGACCAGAGGAGUUUCUGUAAAUAGAAAGGUGAUAAAAGAAGGAAACUUGGUGCAUCAGCAAGAAGAAAAGAAAAUGCAAAAAUAAGCAACACAUGGGUAGAAACAAGAGACUUUUCUUGCCUUGAGUUUUCUAAAUUAUAUUUGGGAAUUGAAACACAUUUUAUGUUUUUUAUUUAUUUUAUUUUACCUUUUUUUUGAGAUGAAGUCUCACUCCAUCACCCAGGCUGGGAGUGCAGUGGGACAAUCUCAGCUCACUGCAAACUCUGCCUCCUGGGUUCAAGUGAUUCUCCUGCCUCAGCCUCCCGAGUAGCUGGGAUUACAGGCAUGCACCACCAUGCCUGGUUAAUUUUUGUAUUUUUAGUAGAGAUGGGGGUUUUGCUAUGUUUGCCACGCUGUUCUUGAACUCCUGACCUUAAGUCAUCCGCCUGCCUCAGCCUCCCAUAGUGCUGUGAUUACUGGUGUGAGCCACCAUGCCCAGCCUGAAACAAAUUUUAAAACCCUGUCUGUUGUGGUUCUAAAUGUAUGAGGAAGAAAUAUUUAAGACCAUUAUAAAUAGGGAAAUAAAAGAAUAUAAAAGGAAAUCAAGUUUCUACACCUCACUCAAACUGGUAAGAUGAUGACAUCAGUAGACUUAUAAGUUAUGCAUAUGUUAUAUUUAGAACAACUAUUGAAAUUAUACAUGGAGACACACUCAAAAAUACCAUAAACAAAUCAAAAUGGAGUUAUAAAAAGUGUUCAUAUCGCUCACAGAAAGGCAGAAAAGAAAAAACAGAAAUGAAAAUCAGAGAAAACAAAAAGCAAAAUGUCAGACAAGCCCCAGCAUAUCAACAAUUACAAUAAAUAUAAAUGGCCAAAGUAUGUUUCAUUCUGCUGAAGCAAUGGCUAGAGUUGCCCCAAAAGUGGUAGCAAAGGAGUCCCCACAAGGGAGUACCCCCAAAGUAUCCCAAGAUGGGGCCAGUUGGGAUUCCAAAGAAAGAAGCAUUAAAUGCCAGGGUGAUCAGUUCAAGGCAUUUAUUAGGGGAACUUACAGAGCACUACAGCAUAUCCUCAGGUGGACAGUGAAAGAAAGGUAUGUUAUACCUAGGUAUGCCUAUGCCAAGAGGAUCAGGGCAUGGA
Molecule: long non-coding RNA, 5365 nt
Filed under: Homo sapiens (human)
Lineage: Eukaryota; Metazoa; Chordata; Mammalia; Primates; Hominidae
Description: HSALNT0267400
Source: RNAcentral